Molecule: ribosomal RNA, 652 nt
Filed under: uncultured bacterium
Lineage: Bacteria
Description: bacterial SSU rRNA
Rfam family: Bacterial small subunit ribosomal RNA
Source: RNAcentral
CGGGCUAAACCCGCGUACAUGCCACCGGGGCAUCCCGGAGGCAGGAAAGGCUUCGGCCGGACAGGGAUGGGCAUGCGGCGCAUUAGGCAGUAGGCGGGGUAACGGCCACCCUAACCGACGAUGCGUAGGGGUUCUGAGAGGAAGGUCCCCCACACUGGUACUGAGACACGGACCAGACUCCUACGGGAGGCAGCAGUGAGGAAUAUUGGUCAAUGGUCGGGAGACUGAACCAGCCAAGCCGCGUGAGGGAGGAAGGUACAGAGUAUCGUAAACCUCUUUUGUCAGGGAACAAAGGCUGGGACGCGUCCCCGGAUGAGUGUACCUGAAGAAAAAGCAUCGGUUAACUCCGUGCCAGCAGCCGCGGUAAUACGGAGGAUGCGAGCGUUAUCCGGAUUUAUUGGGUUUAAAGGGUGCGCAGGCGGUCUGUUAAGUCAGCGGUCAAAGCCCGGGGCUCAACCCCGGCCCGCCGUUGAAACUGGCAGUCUCGAGUUGGAGAGAAGUAUGCGGAAUGCGCGGUGUAGCGGUGAAAUGCAUAGAUAUCGCGCAGAACUCCGAUUGCGAAGGCAGCAUGCCGGCUCCACACUGACGCUGAGGCACGAAAGCGUGGGUAUCGAACAGGAUUAGAUACCCUGGUAGUCCACGCAGUAAACGA